GGCCCUACGGGGCGCAGCAGGCGGGAAACCUUUACAAUGCGCGCAAGCGCGAUAAGGGAAUCCAAAGUGCUAUGGCUUAGGCCAUGGCUUUUUUCAAGAGUAAAAAUCUUGAAGAAUAAGUGGUGGGAAAGACCGGUGCCAGCCGCCGCGGUAACACCGGCGCCACAAGUGGCAGCCGCAUUUAUUGGGCCUAAAGCGUCCGUAGCAGGUUUCGUAAGUUCUUUGUGAAAUCGUAAAGCUCAACUUUACGGCGUGCAAAGAAUACUGCGUUACUAGGGACUGGGAGAGGUAAGAGGAAUUUCGGGGCCAGCGGUGAAAUGUUUUGAUCCCCGAAGGACCACCAAUGGCGAAGGCAUCUUACCAGAACAGGUCCGACUGUGAGGGACGAAAGCUAGGGGAGCAAAACGGAUUAGAUACCCGAGUAGUCCUAGCUGUAAACACUGCGCGUUAGACAUUGUCAAUACCACGAGUUUUGGCAGAGUUGUAGGGAAGCCGUUAAGUUUGCCGCCUGGGAAGUACGUACGCAAGUAUGAAACUUAAAGGAAUUGGCGGGGGAGCAC
This 560-nucleotide ribosomal RNA is filed under the name uncultured archaeon. RNAcentral describes it as "bacterial SSU rRNA". It matches the Rfam family "Archaeal small subunit ribosomal RNA", at positions 319 to 879 of the family's 1478-position model. The record is from RNAcentral.